AAUACGGAAGGUGCAAGCGUUAAUCGGAAUUACUGGGCGUAAAGCGCGCGUAGGUGGUUUGUUAAGUUGGAUGUGAAAGCCCUGGGCUCAACCUAGGAACUGCAUCCAAAACUAACUCACUAGAGUACGAUAGAGGGAGGUAGAAUUCAUAGUGUAGCGGUGGAAUGCGUAGAUAUUAUGAAGAAUACCAGUGGCGAAGGCGGCCUCCUGGAUCUGUACUGACACUGAGGUGCGAAAGCGUGGGUAGCGAACAGGAUUAGAUACCCUGGUAGUCCACGCCGUAAACGAUGACAACUAGCUGUUGGGAGACAAUGUCUUUCAGUGGCGCAGCUAACGUUUUAAGUUGUCCGCCUGGGGAGUACGGCCGCAAGGCUAAAACUCAAAUGAAUUGACGGGGACCCGCACAAGCGGUGGAGCAUGUGGUUUAAUUCGAUGCAACGCGAAAAACCUUACCUACUCUUGACAUACUUGGAAGCUCUUGUAAUGAGAGUGUGCCUUUUGGAACCAAGAUACAGGUGCUGCAUGGCUGUCGUCAGCUCGUGUCGUGAGAUGUUCCGUUAAGUCGGAUAACGAGCGCAACCCUUACCCUUAUUUGCCAGCGAUUCGGUCGGGAACUAUAAGGGGACUGCCGGUGAUAAACCGGAGGAAGGUGAGGACGACGUCAAGUCAUCAUGGCCCUUACGAGUAGGGCUACACACGUGCUACAAUGGGGAAUACAGACGGACGCUAAGCCGCGAGGUGGUGCUAAUCCUAGAAAGUUUCUCGUAGUCCGGAUUGGAGUCUGCAACUCGACUCCAUGAAGUCGGAAUCGCUAGUAAUCGCGGAUCAGCAUGCCGCGGUGAAUACGUUCUCGGGUCUUGUACACACCGCCCGUCACACCAUGGAAGUGGAUUGCACCAGAAGUAGAUAGUCUAACCUUCGGGAGGGCGUUUACCAGCGGUGUGCUUCAU
This 950-nucleotide ribosomal RNA is filed under the name uncultured bacterium. RNAcentral's name for it is "bacterial SSU rRNA". It matches the Rfam family "Bacterial small subunit ribosomal RNA", at positions 522 to 1472 of the family's 1533-position model. The record is from RNAcentral.